Molecule: small nucleolar RNA, 94 nt
Organism: Tupaia belangeri (northern tree shrew)
Lineage: Eukaryota; Metazoa; Chordata; Mammalia; Scandentia; Tupaiidae
Gene: SNORD116
Rfam family: Small nucleolar RNA SNORD116
About the family: HBII-85 is a member of the C/D class of snoRNAs, which contain the C (UGAUGA) and D (CUGA) box motifs. HBII-85 is encoded in a tandemly repeated array with another C/D snoRNA, HBII-52, in the Prader-Willi syndrome (PWS) region of chromosome 15.
Source: Ensembl
GGAUCGAUGACGACUCCCCAGUAAAUAUUCCUUGGAAAAGCUGAACAAAACGAGUAAAAACUCCCUAUCAUCGCUUUCAGCGAAACUGAGGUCC